RNAcentral lists this transfer RNA (76 nucleotides) under Megasphaera hexanoica. RNAcentral describes it as "tRNA-Glu". It matches the Rfam family "tRNA". Rfam says of the family: Transfer RNA (tRNA) molecules are approximately 80 nucleotides in length. Their secondary structure includes four short double-helical elements and three loops (D, anti-codon, and T loops). The record is from RNAcentral. Lineage: Bacteria; Bacillati; Bacillota; Negativicutes; Veillonellales; Veillonellaceae. RNAcentral also lists the same sequence under 6 other names.
GGCCCCUUGGUCAAGUGGUUUAAGACACCGCCCUUUCACGGCGAGAACAUGGGUUCGAAUCCCGUAGGGGUCACCA